Long non-coding RNA from Acanthochromis polyacanthus (spiny chromis), 920 nucleotides. RefSeq lists it as uncharacterized. NCBI's taxonomy places the organism in Eukaryota, Metazoa, Chordata, Actinopteri, Pomacentridae. The transcript has 2 exons. The record is from RefSeq and is a predicted model, not a curated record.
UAAAAAACAGCAGUUGUUUAAACGGUGGCUAAUGUUAGCAGGCAGACUGGCUGUUAGCAUGAGGAAGCAGCCAAGCAGGAUGACAGACAGGCGCUACAGGGGCUAAAAUUAGCUUGCCACUGCCUGGCUAACUUGACAAUAUUUCGACUAAAUAAGGUCUCAGACGAGGUUAAUCGACGACACAGCAGGUAACUAUUAACGCCUUCGGCUAGCAAACGGCUAACCCAGGAGCUAACUGUUAGCUAAUAACAGUCUCGAGCUGGACUAGCUAAUAUUAACGGCUGUCUCCCCUUCCUGUGGGAUCUGACGAGCAGGCUAAGACGUGUUUUGGACGCCGGACGAGUUCAUUUCUUCUUCCUCCUCCUGCUCCUUCGCUGCUUCCUGACAGUCAGCACACAACAAAGGGACACUACUGCCAUCUAAUGUUACUGUUUAUACUCUUAGUAAAAAAUCUAGCGUUUUGUCUCAGCCAUUCUUUUAUACAUUUCAGAAACUAAGAAACAAUGGCUCCGACAGUGUAUAACAGAAGUGACUACAACCCUGUGCAAUAUCGCUUCAGUGUCAAAUGAUUUAAAAUUGUAUCACCUUACAGUUAAACUAAAGAUAAACAGUUUGUUAUUAGAUUUAUUAUAUUUAAAAAGGAGGAUGCCAGUGUUGCAGAAAGUUCUGAAAAGAUGUUCUGCCAUUCUUCAGAAACAUUUCUUUUCAGUUGUUCUUUGCUGAAUGACCUGUGCUGCUCUACCUUUCUUAUUAAAAUACUCCAAAGCUAUUUUAUGAGAUUCAAGUAAGGCGACAAACUUGACCAGGUCAUAGUUUUACUUCACUUUGGAUAGCUGUCAUGCUGCAAUAUUCCUCUUCUGUCAAGCUUUUGCCGACUGGAAAUCUUCUUGUCAGCCACUAUAAAUGUCAUCUCCCCGACA